GAGUCUGCCUUGAAGAUCGGAGUGCUUGCACUCUGUGAAACAAGAUACAGGCUAGCGGCGGACGGGUGAGUAACACGUGGGUAACCUGCCCAAGAGAUCGGGAUAACACCUGGAAACAGAUGCUAAUACCGGAUAACAACAGAUGAUGCCUAUCAACUGUUUAAAAGAUGGUUCUGCUAUCACUCUUGGAUGGACCUGCGGUGCAUUAGCUAGUUGGUAGGGUAACGGCCUACCAAGGCGAUGAUGCAUAGCCGAGUUGAGAGACUGAUCGGCCACAUUGGGACUGAGACACGGCCCAAACUCCUACGGGAGGCAGCAGUAGGGAAUCUUCCACAAUGGACGCAAGUCUGAUGGAGCAACGCCGCGUGAGUGAAGAAGGGUUUCGGCUCGUAAAGCUCUGUUGUUGGUGAAGAAGGACGGGGGUAGUAACUGACCUUUGUUUGACGGUAAUCAAUUAGAAAGUCACGGCUAACUACGUGCCAGCAGCCGCGGUAAUACGUAGGUGGCAAGCGUUGUCCGGAUUUAUUGGGCGUAAAGCGAGUGCAGGCGGUUCGAUAAGUCUGAUGUGAAAGCCUUCGGCUCAACCGGAGAAUUGCAUCAGAAACUGUCGAGCUUGAGUACAGAAGAGNNNNGUGGAACUC
RNAcentral lists this ribosomal RNA (641 nucleotides) under uncultured bacterium. RNAcentral's name for it is "bacterial SSU rRNA". It matches the Rfam family "Bacterial small subunit ribosomal RNA", at positions 59 to 669 of the family's 1533-position model. The record is from RNAcentral.